UACGUAGGGGGCAAGCGUUGUCCGGAUUUAUUGGGCGUAAAGGGCUCGUAGGCGGCUUGGCAAGUCGGAUGUGAAAAUUCCAGGCUCAACCUGGAGACGCCAUUCGAUACUGCUAUAGCUAGAGACCGGUAGGGGAGCACGGAAUUCCUGGUGUAGCGGUGAAAUGCGCAGAUAUCAGGAGGAACACCAGUGGCGAAGGCGGUGCUCUGGGCCGGUACUGACGCUGAUGAGCGAAAGCGUGGGGAGCGAACAGG
This 254-nucleotide unclassified non-coding RNA is filed under the name uncultured Acidimicrobiia bacterium. Its description in RNAcentral is "contains 16S-23S intergenic spacer region". It matches the Rfam family "Bacterial small subunit ribosomal RNA", at positions 524 to 776 of the family's 1533-position model. Lineage: Bacteria; Bacillati; Actinomycetota; Acidimicrobiia. The record is from RNAcentral.